RNAcentral lists this unclassified non-coding RNA (401 nucleotides) under soil metagenome. RNAcentral's name for it is "partial contains 5.8S ribosomal RNA, internal transcribed spacer 2, and large subunit ribosomal RNA". The stretch from base 1 to 121 matches the Rfam family "5.8S ribosomal RNA", at positions 35 to 154 of the family's 154-position model. The record is from RNAcentral.
GAUGAAGAACGCAGCGAAAUGCGAUAAGUAAUGUGAAUUGCAGAAUUCAGUGAAUCAUCGAAUCUUUGAACGCACCUUGCACCCUUUGGCUAUUCCGAAGGGCAUGCCUGUUUGAGUAUCGUGAACACCUCAACUCUCAUGGUUUGCCAUGAUGAGCUUGGACUUGGGGGUUUUGCUGGCCUUCGGUCGGCUCCUCUCAAACGGAUCAGCUUUCCAGUGUUUGGUGGCGUCACGGGUGUGAUAACUAUCUACGCCUGUGGUUUUCUGCCAGAUAACCUUCAGCGAUGGAGGUUCGCUGGGGCUCAUAAAUGUCUCUCUUCAGUGGAGACAGCUUUUUGGACGUUUGAUCUCAAAUCAGGUAGGACUACCCGCUGAACUUAAGCAUAUCAAUAAGCGGAGGA